This 600-nucleotide ribosomal RNA is filed under the name uncultured marine picoplankton. RNAcentral describes it as "SSU rRNA". It matches the Rfam family "Eukaryotic small subunit ribosomal RNA", at positions 594 to 1204 of the family's 1831-position model. The record is from RNAcentral.
AUAGCGUAUAUUUAAGUUGUUGCAGUUAAAAAGCUCGUAGUUGGAUUUCGGUUGAGAGCGGCCGGUCCGCCGUUUGGUGUGCACUGGCUGGUUUCAGCUUCCUGCAGAGGACGCGCUCUGGGCUUAAUCGUCUGGACGUGGAGUCUGCGUGGUUACUUUGAAAAAAUUAGAGUGUUCAAAGCGGGCUUACGCUUGAAUAUUUCAGCAUGGAAUAACACUAUAGGACUCCUGUCCUAUUUCGUUGGUCUCGGGACGGGAGUAAUGAUUAAGAGGAACAGUUGGGGGCAUUCGUAUUUCAAUGUCAGAGGUGAAAUUCUUGGAUUUUUGAAAGACGAACUUCUGCGAAAGCAUUUGCCAAGGAUGUUUUCAUUAAUCAAGAACGAAAGUUGGGGGCUCGAAGAUGAUUAGAUACCAUCCUAGUCUCAACCAUAAACGAUGCCGACUAGGGAUUGGCGAAUGUUAAUUGAUGACUCCGCCAGCACCUUAUGAGAAAUCAAAGUUUUUGGGUUCCGGGGGGAGUAUGGUCGCAAGGCUGAAACUUAAAGGAAUUGACGGAAGGGCACCACCAGGCGUGGAGCCUGCGGCUUAAUUUGACUCAAC